GACGAACGCUGGCGGCGCGCUUAACACAUGCAAGUCGAACGGAAAGGCCUGCUUUCCCUUGUGGAUUGCGGGUACUCGAGUGGCGAACGGGUGAGUAACACGUGAGUGAUCUGCCCCCAACUUGGGUAUAAGCCUGGGAAACUGGGUCUAAUUCCCGAUAGGACUGCAGGGUGGUGCCUGUGGUGGAAAACGAUUUUCUAGUGGUUGGGGAUGAGCUCGCGGCCUAUCAGCUUGUUGGUGGGGUAAUGGCCUACCAAGGCGGCGACGGGUAGCCGGCCUGGGAGGGUGGACGGGCACAUUGGGACUGGGAUACGGCCCAGACUGCUACGGGAGGCAGCAGUGGGGAAUAUUGCACAAUGGGCGGAAGCCUGAUGCAGCGACGCCGCGUGGGGGAUGACGGCCUUCGGGUUGUAAACUCCUUUCGACCGCGAGGAAGCCACCUGGUUGGAAGGGUGGUGACGGUAGUGGUAGAAGAAGCACCGGCUAACUACGU
RNAcentral lists this ribosomal RNA (493 nucleotides) under uncultured bacterium. RNAcentral describes it as "partial 16S ribosomal RNA". It matches the Rfam family "Bacterial small subunit ribosomal RNA", at positions 28 to 506 of the family's 1533-position model. The record is from RNAcentral.